Molecule: ribosomal RNA, 253 nt
Filed under: uncultured bacterium
Lineage: Bacteria
Description: partial 16S ribosomal RNA
Rfam family: Bacterial small subunit ribosomal RNA
Source: RNAcentral
UACGGAGGGGGCUAGCGUUGUUCGGAAUGACUGGGCGUAAAGCGCGCGUAGGCGGAUCAGAAAGUUGGGGGUGAAAUCCCGGGGCUCAACCUCGGAAUGGCCUUCAAAACUCCUGGUCUUGAGUUCGAGAGAGGUGAGUGGAAUUCCGAGUGUAGAGGUGAAAUUCGUAGAUAUUCGGAGGAACACCAGUGGCGAAGGCGGCUCACUGGCUCGACACUGACGCUCAUGCACGAAAGCGUGGGGAGCAAACAGG